This 1367-nucleotide ribosomal RNA is filed under the name uncultured beta proteobacterium. RNAcentral's name for it is "16S ribosomal RNA". It matches the Rfam family "Bacterial small subunit ribosomal RNA", at positions 30 to 1395 of the family's 1533-position model. Lineage: Bacteria; Pseudomonadati; Pseudomonadota; Betaproteobacteria. The record is from RNAcentral.
UGAACGCUGGCGGCAUGCCUUACACAUGCAAGUCGAACGGCAGCACGGGUGCUUGCACCUGGUGGCGAGUGGCGAACGGGUGAGUAAUACAUCGGAACAUGUCCUGUAGUGGGGGAUAGCCCGGCGAAAGCCGGAUUAAUACCGCAUACGAUCUACGGAUGAAAGCGGGGGACCUUCGGGCCUCGCGCUAUAGGGUUGGCCGAUGGCUGAUUAGCUAGUUGGUGGGGUAAAGGCCUACCAAGGCGACGAUCAGUAGCUGGUCUGAGAGGACGACCAGCCACACUGGGACUGAGAUACGGCCCAGACUCCUACGGGAGGCAGCAGUGGGGAAUUUUGGACAAUGGGCGAAAGCCUGAUCCAGCAAUGCCGCGUGUGUGAAGAAGGCCUUCGGGUUGUAAAGCACUUUUGUCCGGAAAGAAAUCCUUGGCUCUAAUACAGUCGGGGGAUGACGGUACCGGAAGAAUAAGCACCGGCUAACUACGUGCCAGCAGCCGCGGUAAUACGUAGGGUGCGAGCGUUAAUCGGAAUUACUGGGCGUAAAGCGUGCGCAGGCGGUUUGCUAAGACCGAUGUGAAAUCCCCGGGCUCAACCUGGGAACUGCAUUGGUGACUGGCAGGCUAGAGUAUGGCAGAGGGGGGGUAGAAUUCCACGUGUAGCAGUGAAAUGCGUAGAGAUGUGGAGGAAUACCGAUGGCGAAGGCAGCCCCCUGGGCCAAUACUGACGCUCAUGCACGAAAGCGUGGGGAGCAAACAGGAUUAGAUACCCUGGUAGUCCACGCCCUAAACGAUGUCAACUAGUUGUUGGGGAUUCAUUUCCUUAGUAACGUAGCUAACGCGUGAAGUUGACCGCCUGGGGAGUACGGUCGCAAGAUUAAAACUCAAAGGAAUUGACGGGGACCCGCACAAGCGGUGGAUGAUGUGGAUUAAUUCGAUGCAACGCGAAAAACCUUACCUACCCUUGACAUGGUCGGAAUCCCGCUGAGAGGUGGGAGUGCUCGAAAGAGAACCGGCGCACAGGUGCUGCAUGGCUGUCGUCAGCUCGUGUCGUGAGAUGUUGGGUUAAGUCCCGCAACGAGCGCAACCCUUGUCCUUAGUUGCUACGCAAGAGCACUCUAAGGAGACUGCCGGUGACAAACCGGAGGAAGGUGGGGAUGACGUCAAGUCCUCAUGGCCCUUAUGGGUAGGGCUUCACACGUCAUACAAUGGUCGGAACAGAGGGUUGCCAACCCGCGAGGGGGAGCUAAUCCCAGAAAACCGAUCGUAGUCCGGAUUGCACUCUGCAACUCGAGUGCAUGAAGCUGGAAUCGCUAGUAAUCGCGGAUCAGCAUGCCGCGGUGAAUACGUUCCCGGGUCUUGUACUCACCGCCC